RNAcentral lists this ribosomal RNA (347 nucleotides) under Phrynidae environmental sample. RNAcentral describes it as "SSU rRNA". It matches the Rfam family "Eukaryotic small subunit ribosomal RNA", at positions 594 to 945 of the family's 1831-position model. Lineage: Eukaryota; Metazoa; Arthropoda; Arachnida; Amblypygi; Phrynidae. The record is from RNAcentral.
AUAGCGUAUAUUAAAGUUGUUGCGGUUAAAAAGCUCGUAGUUGGAUCUCAGUCCAAGCUAAGGGGUCCACUUGUUAGUGGCUACUUCUUAGCUGGACAUUUUACCGAGCCGUCUUUUGAUGCUCUUCACCGAGUGUCAUGAGCGAUCGGUACGUUUACUUUGAAAAAAUUAGAGUGCUCAAAGCAGGCGUAACGCCCGAAUAAUCUUGCAUGGAAUAAUGGAAUAGGACCUCGGUUCUAUUUUGUUGGUCUUCGGGACCUGAGGUAAUGAUUAAGAGAGACAGACGGGGGCAUUCGUAUUGCGGCGCUAGAGGUGAAAUUCUUGGACCGUCGCAAGACGAACUACAG